ACUGCUCAGUAACACGUGGACAACCUACCCUUGGGAUGGGGAUAAACCCGGGAAACUGGGUAUAAUACCCGAUAGUCCUCGAAUGCUGGAAUGCAUCGAGGUCGAAAGCUCCGGUGCCCAAGGAUGGGUCUGCGGCCUAUCAGGUAGUAGUGGGUGUAGCGUACCUACUAGCCUACGACGGGUACGGGUUGUGAGAGCAAGAGCCCGGAGAUGGAUUCUGAGACACGAAUCCAGGCCCUACGGGGUGCAGCAGGCGCGAAAACUUUACAAUGCUGGAAACAGCGAUAAGGGAACCUCGAGUGCCAGGUUACAAAUCUGGCUGUCGUGAUGCCUAAAAAGCAUUGCAUAGCAAGGGCCGGGCAAGACCGGUGCCAGCCGCCGCGGUAACACCGGCGGCUCGAGUGGUAACCGUUAUUAUUGGGUCUAAAGGGUCUGUAGCCGGCCGGAUAAGUCUCUUGGGAAAUCUGGCAGCUUAACUGUCAGGCUUUCAGGAGAUACUGUCUGGCUCGAGGCCGGGAGAGGUGAGAGGUACUUCAGGGGUAGGGGUGAAAUCUUGUAAUCCUUGAAGGACCACCAGUGGCGAAGGCGUCUCACCAGAACGGACCUGACGGCAAGGGACGAAAGCUAGGGGCACGAACCGGAUUAGAUACCCGGGUAGUCCUAGCCGUAAACGAUACUCGCUAGGUGUCGGCCACGGUGCGACCGUGGUCGGUGCCGUAGGGAAGCCGUGAAGCGAGCCACCUGGGAAGUACGGCCGCAAGGCUGAAACUUAAAGGAAUUGGCGGGGGAGCA
This 792-nucleotide ribosomal RNA is filed under the name uncultured archaeon. RNAcentral's name for it is "bacterial SSU rRNA". It matches the Rfam family "Archaeal small subunit ribosomal RNA", at positions 85 to 878 of the family's 1478-position model. The record is from RNAcentral.